AUUGAACGCUGGCGGCAGGCCUAACACAUGCAAGUCGAACGGUAGCACAGAGAGCUUGCUCUCGGGUGACGAGUGGCGGACGGGUGAGUAAUGUCUGGGAAACUGCCUGAUGGAGGGGGAUAACUACUGGAAACGGUAGCUAAUACCGCAUAACGUCGCAAGACCAAAGAGGGGGACCUUCGGGCCUCUUGCCAUCAGAUGUGCCCAGAGGGGAUUAGCUAGUGGGUGGGGUAACGGCUCACCUAGGCAACGAUCGCUAGAUGGUCUGAGAGGAUGACCAGCCACACAGGAACUGAAACACGGUCCAGACUCCUACGGGAGGCAGCAGUGGGGAAUAUUGCACAAUGUGCGCAGGCCUGAUGCAGCCAUGCCGCGUGUAUGAAGAAGGCCUUCGGGUUGUAAAUUACUUUCAGCGGGGAGGAAGGCGAUACGGUUAAUAACCGUGUUGAUUGACGUUACCCGCAGAAGAAGCACCGGCUAACUCCGUGCCAGCCGCCGCGGUAA
Molecule: ribosomal RNA, 504 nt
Filed under: uncultured bacterium
Lineage: Bacteria
Description: partial 16S ribosomal RNA
Rfam family: Bacterial small subunit ribosomal RNA
Source: RNAcentral